UACGUAGGGGGCUAGCGUUAUCCGGAUUUAUUGGGUUUAAAGGGUGCGCAGGCGGGAGAUUAAGUCGGCGGUGAAAUUUUGCAGCUCAACUGUAAAAGUGCCUUCGAUACUGGUUUCCUUGAGUGUAGAUGAAGUAGGCGGAAUUUGUGGUGUAGCGGUGAAAUGCAUAGAUAUCACGAGGAACUCCGAUUGCGCAGGCAGCUUACUAAACUACUACUGACGCUCAGGCACGAAGGCGUGGGGAUCAAACAGGAUUAGAUACCCGCGUA
RNAcentral lists this ribosomal RNA (269 nucleotides) under uncultured prokaryote. RNAcentral describes it as "partial 16S ribosomal RNA". It matches the Rfam family "Bacterial small subunit ribosomal RNA", at positions 524 to 792 of the family's 1533-position model. The record is from RNAcentral.